CCUACAGGAGGCAGCAGUGGGGAAUAUUGGGCAAUGGAGGAAACUCUGACCCAGCGACGCCGCGUGCGGGAUGAAGGCCUUCGGGUUGUAAACCGCUUUCAGCAGGGAAGAAGCGAAAGUGACGGUACCUGCAGAAGAAGCACCGGCUAACUAUGUGCCAGCAGCCGCGGUAAUACAUAGGGUGCAAGCGUUGUCCGGAAUUAUUGGGCGUAAAGAGCUCGUAGGUGGUUCGUCACGUCGGAUGUGAAAAUCUGGGGCUUAACCCCAGACCUGCAUUCGAUACGGGCGAGCUUGAGUAUGGUAGGGGAGUCUGGAAUUCCUGGUGUAGCGGUGGAAUGCGCAGAUAUCAGGAGGAACACCAAUGGCGAAGGCAGGACUCUGGGCCAUUACUGACACUGAGGAGCGAAAGCGUGGGGAGCGAACAGGAUUAGAUACCCUGGUAGUCCACGCCGUAAACGGUGGGCACUAGUUGUGGGGACCUUCCACGGUCUCUGCGAGNNNACGACAUAGUAGCCGCCGCGGNGGACGAGCGCGAAGAGUAAACGUUAAAGUUAAAGUAGUUAGNGUGNGAGNGCGACGACGACGACGAGGAGGAGG
Molecule: ribosomal RNA, 597 nt
Filed under: uncultured bacterium
Lineage: Bacteria
Description: bacterial SSU rRNA
Rfam family: Bacterial small subunit ribosomal RNA (bases 1-518)
Source: RNAcentral